Molecule: ribosomal RNA, 1561 nt
Filed under: Bacillus thuringiensis
Lineage: Bacteria; Bacillati; Bacillota; Bacilli; Caryophanales; Bacillaceae
Description: partial 23S ribosomal RNA
Rfam family: Bacterial large subunit ribosomal RNA
Source: RNAcentral
GUUUGGUUAAGUUAGAAAGGGCGCACGGUGGAUGCCUUGACACUAGGAGUCGAUGAAGGACGGGACUAACGCCGAUAUGCUUCGGGGAGCUGUAAGUAAGCUUUGAUCCGAAGAUUUCCGAAUGGGGAAACCCACCAUACGUAAUGGUAUGGUAUCCUUAUCUGAAUACAUAGGGUAAGGAAGACAGACCCAGGGAACUGAAACAUCUAAGUACCUGGAGGAAGAGAAAGCAAAUGCGAUUUCCUGAGUAGCGGCGAGCGAAACGGAACAUAGCCCAAACCAAGAGGCUUGCCUCUUGGGGUUGUAGGACAUUCUAUACGGAGUUACAAAGGAACGAGGUAGACGAAGCGACCUGGAAAGGUCCGUCGUAGAGGGUAACAACCCCGUAGUCGAAACUUCGUUCUCUCUUGAAUGUAUCCUGAGUACGGCGGAACACGUGAAAUUCCGUCGGAAUCUGGGAGGACCAUCUCCCAAGGCUAAAUACUCCCUAGUGAUCGAUAGUGAACCAGUACCGUGAGGGAAAGGUGAAAAGCACCCCGGAAGGGGAGUGAAAGAGAUCCUGAAACCGUGUGCCUACAAAUAGUCAGAGCCCGUUAACGGGUGAUGGCGUGCCUUUUGUAGAAUGAACCGGCGAGUUACGAUCCCGUGCGAGGUUAAGCUGAAGAGGCGGAGCCGCAGCGAAAGCGAGUCUGAAUAGGGCGUUUAGUACGUGGUCGUAGACCCGAAACCAGGUGAUCUACCCAUGUCCAGGGUGAAGUUCAGGUAACACUGAAUGGAGGCCCGAACCCACGCACGUUGAAAAGUGCGGGGAUGAGGUGUGGGUAGCGGAGAAAUUCCAAUCGAACCUGGAGAUAGCUGGUUCUCCCCGAAAUAGCUUUAGGGCUAGCCUUAAGUGUAAGAGUCUUGGAGGUAGAGCACUGAUUGGACUAGGGGUCCUCAUCGGAUUACCGAAUUCAGUCAAACUCCGAAUGCCAAUGACUUAUCCUUAGGAGUCAGACUGCGAGUGAUAAGAUCCGUAGUCAAAAGGGAAACAGCCCAGACCGCCAGCUAAGGUCCCAAAGUGUGUAUUAAGUGGAAAAGGAUGUGGAGUUGCUUAGACAACUAGGAUGUUGGCUUAGAAGCAGCCACCAUUUAAAGAGUGCGUAAUAGCUCACUAGUCGAGUGACUCUGCGCCGAAAAUGUACCGGGGCUAAAUACACCACCGAAGCUGCGGAUUGAUACCGAAUGGUAUCAGUGGUAGGGGAGCGUUCUAAGGACAGUGAAGUCAGACCGNAAGGACUGGUGGAGUGCUUAGAAGUGAGAAUGCCGGUAUGAGUAGCGAAAGACGGGUGAGAAUCCCGUCCACCGAAUGCCUAAGGUUUCCUGAGGAAGGCUCGUCCGCUCAGGGUUAGUCAGGACCUAAGCCGAGGCCGACAGGCGUAGGCGAUGGACAACAGGUUGAUAUUCCUGUACCACCUCUUUAUCGUUUGAGCAAUGGAGGGACGCAGAAGGAUAGAAGAAGCGUGCGAUUGGUUGUGCACGUCCAAGCAGUUAGGCUGAUAAGUAGGCAAAUCCGCUUAUC